GACUUGGUGGCGCAAUGGUAGCGCGUCCGACUCCAGAUCGGAAGGCUGCGUGUUCAAAUCACGUCCGGGUCA
RNAcentral lists this transfer RNA (72 nucleotides) under Cronartium comandrae C4. RNAcentral's name for it is "tRNA-Trp (CCA) (tRNA-Trp-CCA-1-1)". It matches the Rfam family "tRNA". From Rfam's summary of the family: Transfer RNA (tRNA) molecules are approximately 80 nucleotides in length. Their secondary structure includes four short double-helical elements and three loops (D, anti-codon, and T loops). Lineage: Eukaryota; Fungi; Basidiomycota; Pucciniomycetes; Pucciniales; Coleosporiaceae. The record is from RNAcentral. RNAcentral also lists the same sequence under 1 other name.